Molecule: ribosomal RNA, 498 nt
Filed under: uncultured bacterium
Lineage: Bacteria
Description: partial 16S ribosomal RNA
Rfam family: Bacterial small subunit ribosomal RNA
Source: RNAcentral
GGAUGAACGCUGGCGGCGUGCCUAAUACAUGCAAGUCGAGCGAACAGACGAGGAGCUUGCUCCUCUAACGUUAGCGGCGGACGGGUGAGUAACACGUGGAUAACCUACCUAUAAGACUGGGAUAACUUCGGGAAACCGGAGCUAAUACCGGAUAAUAUAUUGAACCGCAUGGUUCAAUAGUGAAAGACGGUUUUGCUGUCACUUAUAGAUGGAUCCGCGCCGCAUUAGCUAGUUGGUAAGGUAACAGCUUACCAAGGCAACGAUGCGUAGCCGACCUGAGAGGGUGAUCGGCCACACUGGAACUGAGACACGGUCCAGACUCCUACGGGAGGCAGCAGUAGGGAAUCUUCCGCAAUGGGCGAAAGCCUGACGGAGCAACGCCGCGUGAGUGAUGAAGGUCUUCGGAUCGUAAAACUCUGUUAUUAGGGAAGAACAAAUGUGUAAGUAACUAUGCACGUCUUGACGGUACCUAAUCAGAAAGCCACGGCUAACUACGUG